This is a non-coding RNA of Phascolarctos cinereus (koala), 3162 nucleotides long. The record is from RefSeq and is a predicted model, not a curated record. NCBI's taxonomy places the organism in Eukaryota, Metazoa, Chordata, Mammalia, Diprotodontia, Phascolarctidae.
CACCUCAGGUAAUUGUACUCAUCCCUUUAAAUCUCCUCUGCUAGUUCAGUUAGGUAAUGUCUUCUCUUUGGCUCUCUGGCACAAGCAGGGACACAAUGGGCACUGCAAAAUCAGCUGCAACAUGCCACUCAAGAGAUGGCACAUGCAUGUUGUAGCAGUGGGCACAGUAAUCCCUGCAUAUCCCUUACCUAAAACACUGGAAUGUCUUGUGGCUUAACUGGAGGAUUUAUCAAGAUCUUCACAUGAAGGAUGCUACAGAUGUAGUGCCAUUACCAAGGAUUUACUCUCUACUUAGCAUUAAGAAGGAUGGCUACUGGCUUUUAUCAAAAUAACUAAAUGUAGUUUGUAAAAAUAAAGCCUUAUUAACAGAGCAACGCUACAAAACAAUACAAGCCCCUCUUCUACGAAGAACAUAUCACAAUGAAUGACAGAGCACCACAAAGACUUCUCUUGAAAAAGAGCCAAGUAAAGUAGAUUUCCCAGGUAUCUGUUUGAAGGACCUCAGGAGCAAAUACCACAGGCAGCUUUCCAAGCCUUUAUUUGUAGAAUUUCCGGAUUUGUUCGUGCUCCCAUAUUUGGAAAGAAGAUCUCGGGCAUCUCUACGUAUUUAACCUACUUUGUACAUCACUUUAUAAAACAGAUAAAAGCUACAUGGUAAAUACAUCCAAGAGAAUAUAAUAGACUACAUAAAAUACAUUUUUUUAAAAAUGUCCUAUGUUUUAAGAUGAACAAAAUGUAAUAUGAAAAUUUAACCAAAGAUCUUAGAAUUUAUGCUUACUACAUGUAUGACCUUGGGCAAGUCAUAAUCUACUAUAGUCUAUUAUGUGAUCCAAUAGAUAGAGUGCUUGUCCUGGACUCAGGAAAUAGAGUCCAAACUUAGACAUCUACUAUCUGAACGACCCGGGGCAAGUCACUUAACCUUGGCUGCUUCAGUUUCCUUGCUGUACAAGGGGGAUAAUCAUAGCACUUAUUUCCAAAGGUUGUUUUGGAGAUAAACUCAUGUAACAUAUAAAGCACUUUGCAAAUAUACAUCCCUGGUUCUGAGAUUGUCAGGUCUAAAACAGUGGUUUGACUCGGAGGUCUCUUUCAGCUCAAUAUCUAUGAUCAAGCCAAGUCAUCUUGAGUAUCCUAAAACUUGUAAGAUAAGAAAAAGAGGUAGGACAGUCAUUCAGCAGGAAGUAGACAUAAGAGAUACACAGUUCAAGUGUUGCCACAAAAAUCAGCCAAUCAGCAAGGCUUUAUGCUAGGUGCUUAGGAUAUUUCUAUAUAUCUAAAUAUAUUUGCACAUAUAUGUACAUAUAUGUAUACAAAUAUAUACAUAUAUGUGGAUGUCUAUGCACAUAUAUGUUUCUAUUUACAGAUAUGCAUAAUACAUGUGUGUGAUAUGUGCAUGCGCUAUGUACACAUAUGUACAUGUAUGCAUAUACAGAGAGAGACAAGGAGAAGAAAGAGAGGAAAAGAGAGGGAGAAAGAGAGAGGAAGAAAGACAGGACCAACUUGAGGUAGUACCUAACUUUACCUGUAAGGAGUUAAUAUUCUACCGGGCAUAUAGUGUGUUCACAGAUAAGUAAAUACAAGACAAAAUUUUAAAAAAAGUUAUUCAGAAGAUGAAAUGCUGACAACCAGAGGAAAUCAGGAAAAGUGUCCUAAAGAAGGCAGUCCUUCAACUGAGACUUAAUGGCCACUAAAGAUUUCAUAUCCGAAAAAACUAGGGGAAGGCUAUGAAUACAUGAUGUAGUUCCUCUCCUGAGGAUUUAUGGAAGUAUAUUGGCAGGAGCGUGCUGCUAAAUGUUUAGUAACAAACUCUCUGAAUGUCAACAACAUACGUGGAAAGGUUGACAUUUUUCUUCAUCAUUUUCUUAAGUCUAGACCAUCAGCAAAAUAAUAACCCAAGCCCUGAUUUGUAGCAUUUGCCACUUUCCACAGGAUAAAUACUCAUACUGGGAAUUUAACAAUUGGCUCUUGAAGUACCUGCCUCCAGCAUCCCCUGAACAUGACCAAAAGCUGAACAGAUAAGAAAAUACAGAUGGGUUGUGAGCUACAUGUGGGAAGGUGGGAGGGGUCAUGAGCAAUGAAAUUAUGGAUCCUUCAGUGGUAUCAAACUCAAAUGGAAACAUAUCCUUGCUGUAUAACGAGUGAAAAAACAACAACAACUAGAAAUUAACAUGACAUUGUGUUGUACUUGUAUUUAUUUUAACACUUUACAAAUUAUAUUUCAGUUUGGUUUGCUGCACCUGGGAGAUUUGUUGGUGGAAAGUUUGACACUUCUUAGAAUAUCUAAGGAAGGUUACCUAGUUGAAAAAUGAUAGACGUGUUCACUGAUGCCUAUAGAGUGUUCAGUUAAAGAACAUGGGGGUGUGACAUCAAAGAACCAUGAUGUGGUCAUGCAGUGGUGCUGAAUGGCACACAGAUUAUAAAAGUGGGUUGCCUCCCCCCCCAAUUUUAUGUUAUGAAGCACUCCAUAAGCAAGGCAAUUAAAUUUUGAGUCACGUAAACAUUAUCGUUCCUAUUUUUACAAUGAGAAAACUGAGGCACAGAAAAGAUGAAAUGACUUAUCCAAGGCCACAGAGCUUAUAAGUAUCAGAACUAAGACUUAAAAAUUUAAAAAAUCAAAUUGAUUCUAUUCUAUAAUUUAUUUGGUUUUGCAUCACUAGAGACAUUUUGUAUAUUACCUAAGUCAUAUUUCAUUUGUCUCUGAGUUAAAUUUGGAAAUUCAGCUUUCCUGCUAAUCACUGUUCUAUUCUUAUGUCAAGGAAAUCUGUUCUCCUUAAAGGAUGUAGGUGGAUGCCAAGGAAUCUGGUCUGUUAUCUCUGCACCACUGGCUGUCCUUCAAGCAAGCCUGGUCUGUUAUCACUGUGACACUAACUAGCCACAAGUAGACGCCAGCAAUGAGCUUUCCAUAGUGACAAGAUGGAAAGAGAGGCCCUGCAUGCCAAAUUUACAGUCAAUCACCUCGUGCCUCACAUAUACGAUGCUGCUGACUUUGUAACCACUUGUGUUGUUUUCUCCAUCUAUGAUGCUACCUUACAGUUUUUGGAUGCUCCUCCUUUUGUCCAUAAAAAUUAUUUGUCAGCCUUCAUUCAGGUUCUUAGCUAGCUGAAGAGGUUAAGAUUCUUUGCUGGCAAAUUCACUGUUUCCUAAUAAAUUGAUUGUGCUCAGAGA